AGGGACAGAGGGUAGGAGGAGAGAUGAUGUAGAGGGUAUAUACAGUAGGUCAUGGAGGGACAGAGGGUAGGAGGAGAGAUGAUGUAGAGGGUAUAUACAGUAGGUCAUAGAGGGUAGGGGGAGAGAUGAUGUAGAGGGUAUAUACAGUAGGUCAUGGAGGGACAGAGGGUAGGAGGAGAGAUGAUGUAGAGGGUAUAUACAGUAGGUCAUAGAGGGUAGGAGGAGAGAUGAUGUAGAGGGUAUAUACAGUAGGUCAUAGAGGGACAGAGGGUAGGAGGAGAGAUGAUGUAGAGGGUAUAUACAGUAGGUCAUGGAGAGACAGAGGGUAGGAGGAGAGAUGAUGUAGAGGGUAUAUACAGUAGGUCAUGGAGAGACAGAGGGUAGGAGGAGAGAUGAUGUAGAGGGUAUAUACAGUAGGUCAUGGAGGGACAGAGGGUAGGAGGAGAGAUGAGGAGGGUAUAUACAGUAGGUCAUGGAGGGACAGAGGGUAGGAGGAGAGAGGGUAUAUACAGUAGGUCAUGGAGGGACAGAGGGUAGGAGGAGAGAUGGGUAUAUACAGUAGUCAUGGAGGGACAGAGGGUAGGAGGAGAGAUGGGUAUAUACAGUAGGUCAUGGAGGGACAGAGGGUAGGAGGAGAGAUGGGUAUAUACAGUAGGUCAUGGAGGGACAGAGGGUAGGAGGAGAGAUGGGUAUAUACAGUAGGUCAUGGAGGGACAGAGGGUAGGAGGAGAGAUGGGUAUAUACAGUAGGUCAUGGAGGGACAGAGGGUAGGAGGAGAGAUGAUGUAGAGGGUAUAUACAGUAGGUCAUGGAGGGACAGAGGGUAGGAGGAGAGAUGAUGUAGAGGGUAUAAACAGUAGGUCAUGGAGAGACAGAGGGUAGGAGGAGAGAUGGGUAUAUACAGUAGGUCAUGGAGGGACAGAGGGUAGGAGGAGAGAUGAUGUAGAGGAGGGUAUAUACAGUAGGUCAUGGAGAGUCCUGUUAGUUACUGUACCUCUUGAUCAACUGAAGGCUCUUACACUGGGCAUGCUUGUGUCAUUGAUUUAUGGUGGGAGGAGGGGUGUGUUCAGCGGGAGGCGGGAG
Molecule: long non-coding RNA, 1082 nt
Filed under: Salmo salar (Atlantic salmon)
Lineage: Eukaryota; Metazoa; Chordata; Actinopteri; Salmoniformes; Salmonidae
Description: lncRNA (ENSSSAG00000095355.1)
Source: RNAcentral